This 693-nucleotide ribosomal RNA is filed under the name Delma hebesa. Its description in RNAcentral is "partial 16S ribosomal RNA". The stretch from base 263 to 432 matches the Rfam family "Archaeal large subunit ribosomal RNA", at positions 1878 to 2091 of the family's 2987-position model. Lineage: Eukaryota; Metazoa; Chordata; Lepidosauria; Squamata; Pygopodidae. The record is from RNAcentral.
AUUAUACAAAUCCACACACACGAACCACCCCCUGACAUCUCACUGAGCCACUCUAUUUUAAACAAUAGAAGAACUAAUGCUAAAACUAGUAAUAAGAACACAUUCUCCCCCACACACCCCUCAAUCAGAAAUAGAUAAACUACUGAAAAUUAACAAGCUAUAAAAAAGAAGCAAACAACACAACAAGAAAACAUUUACACAAUUUGUGACCCCAACACAGGAGUGUUUUAAGGACCGAUUAAAAGCCCAACAAGGAAUUCAGCUAAUAGACUCCAACUGUUUACCAAAAACAUAGCCUUUAGCAUCACAAGUAUUAAAGGUCUCGCCUGCCCAGUGAUUCUUUCAACGGCCGCGGUAUCCUAACCGUGCAAAGGUAGCGUAAUCAUUUGUCUCCUAAAUAGAGACUUGUAUGAACGGCUAACUGAGGGUCUAACUGUCUCCUAAGGCCAAUCAAUGAAACUGAUCUCCCAGUACAAAAGCUGAGAUACGCACAUAAGACGAGAAGACCCUGUGGAGCUUAAAACAAGCACUAUUUUUUCAACACAUAAACUACGGAAACAAAACUUACAAAACAUAGUGAAACUUUUUAGUUGGGGCGACUUUGGAACAAAAAAAAACUUCCAUGAUAAGGGCAACACCCUAUCAAGGCCCACAAGCCUAAAUAACUUUUUUUGACCCAGACAUCUGAUCAAC